RNAcentral lists this ribosomal RNA (484 nucleotides) under uncultured bacterium. RNAcentral's name for it is "partial 16S ribosomal RNA". It matches the Rfam family "Bacterial small subunit ribosomal RNA", at positions 30 to 507 of the family's 1533-position model. The record is from RNAcentral.
AUUGAACGCUGGCGGCAGGCCUAACACAUCCAAGUGGAGCGGAGGAAGGGGGCUUGCCCCUGGUUUCACCGGCGGACGGGUGGGUAAUGCCUAGGAAUCUGCCUGUUAUUGGGGGAUAACUUCCGGAACCGGGCGCUAAUACCGCUAACGUCCUGAGGAAGAAAUGGGGGGAUCUUCGGACUUCACGCUUUCAGAUAAGCCUAGGUCGGAUUAGCUAGUUGGUGGGGUAAAGGCCUACCAAGGCGACGAUCCGUAACUGGUCUGAGAGGAUGAUCAGUCACACUGGAACUGAGACACGGUCCAGACUCCUACGGGAGGCAGCAGUGGGGAAUAUUGGACAAUGGGCGAAAGCCUGAUCCAGCCAUGCCGCGUGUGUGAAGAAGGUCUUCGGAUUGUAAAGCACUUUAAGUUGGGAGGAAGGGCAGUAAGUUAAUACCUUGCUGUUUUGACGUUACCAACAGAAUAAGCACCGGCUAACUUCGUG